Molecule: ribosomal RNA, 368 nt
Filed under: uncultured bacterium
Lineage: Bacteria
Description: bacterial SSU rRNA
Rfam family: Bacterial small subunit ribosomal RNA
Source: RNAcentral
AUACGUAGGUGGCGAGCGUUAUCCGGAAUUAUUGGGCGUAAAGGGUGCGCAGUCGGCUAAUUAAGUUUGUGGUGAAAGUGCGGGGCUUAACUCCGUAUUGCCAUGAAAACUGGUUGGCUAGAGUGCAGAAGAGGGUAGUGGAAUUCCAUGUGUAGCGGUAAAAUGCGUAGAUAUAUGGAGGAACACCAGUGGCGAAGGCGGCUACCUGGUCUGUAACUGACGAUGAGGCACGAAAGCGUGGGGAGCAAAUAGGAUUAGAUACCCUAGUAGUCCACGCUGUAAACGAUGAAUACUAAGUGUUGGGGGAACUCAGUGCUGCAGUUAACGCAUUAAGCACUCCGCCUGGGGAGUACGACCGCAAGGUUGAA